UCUAAUAAUGAAUAAUGAUAUAUUUUAGCUAUGUUUGUCUUGAGAAAGCCUCCGUAUCAAUCUGAGGCAGAUGGGAUUCUAGGAUGUCUAUCUGUCUGUCUAUCAAUCAAUCAAAGAAGCUCAACUGAAGAGCGAGGAAUUGAUUUGUCAGAUACGACCGUACCUUGAAAACCCAACAUUUCAGAAUUUGUACUGCAUCUUGGAAGAAAAGGAGCCCAUUUUGAGAAAACCUUUCAGGAGAUGCUAAAUUUGGCAGAGCCAACAUCCUCCCCCAGUUUUGGGUGGCGUGAUUUGUGAACCGCAGCUGUGAACAAUUGCGAUCGUCGUUUAUGCAUGCGAAAGAAGCCAACUGCGGCAUGGUGUCAGCCAGGAUAUAAUUGCCGAAGGGAGAAUGCAAUCAUGCCUGAUAAAGAUGAUUAGAAGACUCAACCUCAUCAUAACCAACGAGCCUCUCAAAUAAUAAAAUGACCGCUUAGUUAAGUGACUUGGAGAGAUCGGUGUUAAUCAACGGAGCGGCCGUUUUCAUUCUCAUCCUGCUGCAGAGCAACGAGGAAAAAGAGCGAAAAGGAAAGGAAAGGUGGAGAACCAACAUAGGAUACUUACAGCAGAAGAAGUCCCAUCAAAAGCACCACCAUGAACCAGGUCUCCAUGGAUAAGGUAGGAAGAAGA
Molecule: long non-coding RNA, 669 nt
Organism: Ahaetulla prasina
Lineage: Eukaryota; Metazoa; Chordata; Lepidosauria; Squamata; Colubridae
Exons: 3
Source: RefSeq, a predicted model, not a curated record